RNAcentral lists this long non-coding RNA (594 nucleotides) under Salvia miltiorrhiza (redroot sage). RNAcentral's name for it is "long non-coding RNA (SMIL_LNC010474)". The record is from RNAcentral. Lineage: Eukaryota; Viridiplantae; Streptophyta; Magnoliopsida; Lamiales; Lamiaceae.
UGGAGAUUCUCAAAAUUGGAGCUACGAUCUAUAGGAAUAAGUCUGGAAAGAGCUGAUAGUCUUGACAAUCGGUCGGCGAGUGAGAUAUCGAAAACCCUAGGUGAUCGGAGAUGCUUUCGAUUUGGGAAUUUCUGUGGGAGACGGAUAAUGUAAUCUAUAUAUUAUAUGAAAACACAGUUUUCUAACGCCCCGCAAAAAUUUUGACAGUUUAUUUUCACCAAAAUUUCAGGCAUAUACAAUGUGAUUCGUAACAAUUUCAAAAGUUCAAACGUGAUUUCAACAACAGUUUUUACUCAAAAAUAUGGAUUUGAGCAAUCAACAUUCAAUAUCUUCACCAAAAAAAGGAAAUGUCAAGAGAAAUUGUCUUCUGUAAAUACCUUUAGGCGGCUUGAGGGUUGUACUGGUCCCGAUGAGGUGGCGAAAUCAGUGGGGCAAAUAGAGCCGAGGGCGGCGCCGUGCUACUGUAACAGGCUAGAGAGAUGAUGGUGUGUAGUGUGUACGGCGGCGGCCGUGGCUACCUGUGACUGUUGCUGCCGCCGAAGAGAGAGAGAAUAAAUGCGAGAUUCACACAGAUAGGGGAGGGAUCGAAACUCG